GAGAGUAGAAAAAAACCUAAAACCCUACUAUUAAUUUUUAUUUUUUAUUUUUGUUUUGCAUGAAUGCUUAGUGUUUGGUUCAUGAGUUAUAUUUUGUGUGUGUUUAGAAGGGAGAGGAUAAGCUGAAGAUUGAGUUAAGGUUGAGAAAGAGUAAAGUAGAUGAUUAAUUGAUUACAGAUGCAUGCAUAAGGCAGAUAGUUGGUUUUUACAGAGCACCAAUGUUCUUGAGGCCAAGAACAACCCCAACCCCAAUGAUGUGCCCAACAGCUCCACAGGCCAAGGUGUCUGCAAGGGUGAAGCCAGCAGGGUCACCAGUCUGCAAGCCUGAGUCCCUCACUUCCAGCUUUAGCCCUGCAGUGGCUUUCCUGUUUGCUGAUGGAGCCAAUCCAAACCUUCCAGCAAACAGCAUCAAGCUUGUAGAAGCCACCAUAAUCUGUUCAACAUCUCAACAAUCUCAUCUAUCAUAUCAACAGCACUCUCUCUUAUCUCACAUUCUAUUUGGG
RNAcentral lists this long non-coding RNA (503 nucleotides) under Phaseolus vulgaris (common bean). Its description in RNAcentral is "long non-coding RNA (PVUL_LNC001293)". Lineage: Eukaryota; Viridiplantae; Streptophyta; Magnoliopsida; Fabales; Fabaceae. The record is from RNAcentral.